AGUGAACGCUGGCGGUAGGCCUAACACAUGCAAGUCGAACGGCAGCACAGUAAGAGCUUGCUCUUACGGGUGGCGAGUGGCGGACGGGUGCGGAAUACAUCGGAAUCUACUUUUUCGUGGGGGAUAACGUAGGGAAACUUACGCUAAUACCGCAUACGACCUACGUGUGAAAGCAGGGGAUCUUCGGACCUUGCGCGAUUGAAUGCGCCGAUGUCGGAUUAGCUAGUCGGCGGGGUAAAGGCCCACCAAGGCGACGAUCCGUAGCUGGUCUGAGAGGAUGAUCAGCCACACUGGAACUGAGACACGGUCCAGACUCCUACGGGAGGCAGCAGUGGGGAAUAUUGGACAAUGGGCGCAAGCCUGAUCCAGCCAUACCGCGUGGGUGAAGAAGGCCUUCGGGUUGUAAAGCCCUUUUGUUGGGAAAGAAAAGCAGCAGGUUAAUACCCCGCUGUUCUGACGGUACCCAAAGAAUAAGCACCGGCUAACUUCGUG
Molecule: ribosomal RNA, 492 nt
Filed under: uncultured bacterium
Lineage: Bacteria
Description: partial 16S ribosomal RNA
Rfam family: Bacterial small subunit ribosomal RNA
Source: RNAcentral